GCCCUACGGGUGGCUGCAGUGGGGAAUAUUGGACAAUGGGCGCAAGCCUGAUCCAGCCAUGCCGCGUGAGUGAUGAAGGCCCUAGGGUUGUAAAGCUCUUUCACCGAUGAAGAUAAUGACGGUAGUCGGAGAAGAAGCCCCGGCUAACUUCGUGCCAGCAGCCGCGGUAAUACGAAGGGGGCUAGCGUUGUUCGGAAUUACUGGGCGUAAAGCGCACGUAGGCGGAUAUUUAAGUCAGGGGUGAAAUCCCGCAGCUCAACUGCGGAACUGCCUUUGAUACUGGGUAUCUUGAGUAUGGAAGAGGUGAGUGGAAUUCCGAGUGUAGAGGUGAAAUUCGUAGAUAUUCGGAGGAACACCAGUGGCGAAGGCGGCUCACUGGUCCAUUACUGACGCUGAGGUGCGAAAGCGUGGGGAGCAAACAGGAUUAGAUACCCGUGUAGUCGUU
RNAcentral lists this ribosomal RNA (445 nucleotides) under uncultured Agrobacterium sp. RNAcentral describes it as "bacterial SSU rRNA". It matches the Rfam family "Bacterial small subunit ribosomal RNA", at positions 335 to 798 of the family's 1533-position model. Lineage: Bacteria; Pseudomonadati; Pseudomonadota; Alphaproteobacteria; Hyphomicrobiales; Rhizobiaceae. The record is from RNAcentral.